ACGCACGCUGGCGGCGUGCUUCACACAUGCAAGUCGCACGGAAAGGCCCUGCUUUUGUGGGGUGCUCGAGUGGCGAACGGGUGAGUAACACGUGAGUAACCUGCCCUUGACUUUGGGAUAACUUCAGGAAACUGGGGCUAAUACCGGAUAGGAGCUCCUGCUGCAUGGUGGGGGUUGGAAAGUUUCGGCGGUUGGGGAUGGACUCGCGGCUUAUCAGCUUGUUGGUGGGGUAGUGGCUUACCAAGGCUUUGACGGGUAGCCGGCUUGAGAGGGUGACCGGCCACAUUGGGACUGAGAUACGGCCCAGACUCCUACGGGAGGCAGCAGUGGGGAAUAUUGCACAAUGGGCGGAAGCCUGAUGCAGCAACGCCGCGUGCGGGAUGACGGCCUUCGGGUUGUAAACCGCUUUCGCCUGUGACGAAGCGUGAGUGACGGUAAUGGGUAAAGAAGCACCGGCUAACUACGUG
RNAcentral lists this ribosomal RNA (467 nucleotides) under uncultured bacterium. RNAcentral's name for it is "partial 16S ribosomal RNA". It matches the Rfam family "Bacterial small subunit ribosomal RNA", at positions 29 to 507 of the family's 1533-position model. The record is from RNAcentral.